UAGAGUUUGAUCCUGGCUCACCUUGAACGCUGGCGGCAUGCCUAACACAUGCAAGUCGAACGGCAGCACAGUAGAGCUUGCUCUAUGGGUGGCGAGUGGNNNNCGGGUGAGUAAUGCAUCGGGAUCUACCCAAACGUGGGGGAUAACGUAGGGAAACUUACGCUAAUACCGCAUACGUCCUAUGGGAGAAAGCGGGGGAUCGAAAGACCUCGCGCGGUUGGACGAACCGAUGUGCGAUUAGCUAGUUGGUAGGGUAAUGGCCUACCAAGGCGACGAUCGCUAGCUGGUCUGAGAGGAUGAUCAGCCACACUGGAACUGAGACACGGUCCAGACUCCUACGGGAGGCAGCAGUGGGGAAUAUUGGACAAUGGGCGCAAGCCUGAUCCAGCAAUGCCGCGUGUGUGAAGAAGGCCUUCGGGUUGUAAAGCACUUUUAUCAGGAGCGAAAUACUACCAGCUAAUAUCCGGUGGGGCUGACGGUACCUGAGGAAUAAGCACCGGCUAACUUCGUGCCAGCAGCCGCGGUAAUACGAAGGGUGCAAGCGUUAAUCGGAAUUACUGGGCGUAAAGCGUGCGUAGGCGGUGAUUUAAGUCUGCUGUGAAAUCCCCGGGCUCAACCUGGGAAUGGCAGUGGAUACUGGAUCGCUAGAGUGUGAUAGAGGAUGGUGGAAUUCCCGGUGUAGCGGUGAAAUGCGUAGAGAUCGGGAGGAACAUCAGUGGCGAAGGCGGCCAUCUGGAUCAACACUGACGCUGAGGCACGAAAGCGUGGGGAGCAAA
RNAcentral lists this ribosomal RNA (776 nucleotides) under bacterium enrichment culture clone PF-1_36. RNAcentral describes it as "bacterial SSU rRNA". It matches the Rfam family "Bacterial small subunit ribosomal RNA", at positions 1 to 772 of the family's 1533-position model. The record is from RNAcentral.